GCCAGGUGUGAUGGGGCACACCUGUAAUCCCAGAGGCUUGGGAGCUGAGGCAGGAGGAUUGUGAGUUCAAGGCCAGCCUCAGAAACUUAGCAAGGCCCUAAGCAACUCAGUGAGAACCUGUCUCUA
RNAcentral lists this small RNA (126 nucleotides) under Marmota monax (woodchuck). The record is from RNAcentral. Lineage: Eukaryota; Metazoa; Chordata; Mammalia; Rodentia; Sciuridae.